Molecule: transfer RNA, 76 nt
Filed under: Chloroflexota bacterium
Lineage: Bacteria; Bacillati; Chloroflexota
Description: Chloroflexi bacterium tRNA-Lys
Rfam family: tRNA
About the family: Transfer RNA (tRNA) molecules are approximately 80 nucleotides in length. Their secondary structure includes four short double-helical elements and three loops (D, anti-codon, and T loops).
Source: RNAcentral
GGCCCGCUAGCUCAAUUGGCAGAGCAACGGACUCUUAAUCCGUAGGUUCCCGGUUCGACCCCGGGGCGGGUCACCA